AGAACGAACGCUGGCGGCAGGCUUAACACAUGCAAGUCGAGCGCCCCGCAAGGGGGAGCGGCAGACGGGUGAGUAACGCGUGGGAACAUACCCUCCGGUUCGGAAUAACUCAGGGAAACUUGAGCUAAUACCGGAUACGGUCGAGAGGCGAAAGAUUUAUCGCCGGAGGAUUGGCCCGCGUCCGAUUAGCUAGUUGGUGUGGUAAUGGCGCACCAAGGCGACGAUCGGUAGCUGGUCUGAGAGGAUGAUCAGCCACAUUGGGACUGAGACACGGCCCAAACUCCUACGGGAGGCAGCAGUGGGGAAUAUUGGACAAUGGGCGAAAGCCUGAUCCAGCCAUGCCGCGUGAGUGAUGAAGGCCUUAGGGUUGUAAAGCUCUUUCGCCCACGACGAUAAUGACGGUAGUGGGAGAAGAGCCCGGCUAACUUCGUGCCAGCAGCCGC
This 443-nucleotide ribosomal RNA is filed under the name uncultured bacterium. RNAcentral describes it as "SSU rRNA". It matches the Rfam family "Bacterial small subunit ribosomal RNA", at positions 26 to 518 of the family's 1533-position model. The record is from RNAcentral.